RNAcentral lists this ribosomal RNA (630 nucleotides) under uncultured bacterium. Its description in RNAcentral is "bacterial SSU rRNA". It matches the Rfam family "Bacterial small subunit ribosomal RNA", at positions 51 to 662 of the family's 1533-position model. The record is from RNAcentral.
AUACAUGCAAGUCGAGCGGACGAUUCAAAAGCUUGCUUUUGAAUCGUUAGCGGCGGACGGGUGAGUAACACGUGGGCAACCUGCCCUGUAGACGGGGAUAACACCGAGAAAUCGGUGCUAAUACCGGAUAACACGAAAUGUCGCAUGACGUUUCGUUGAAAGACGGCGCAAGCUGUCGCUACAGGAUGGGCCCGCGGCGCAUUAGCUAGUUGGUGAGGUAACGGCUCACCAAGGCGACGAUGCGUAGCCGACCUGAGAGGGUGAUCGGCCACACUGGGACUGAGACACGGCCCAGACUCCUACGGGAGGCAGCAGUAGGGAAUCUUCCGCAAUGGACGAAAGUCUGACGGAGCAACGCCGCGUGAGCGAAGAAGGCCUUCGGGUCGUAAAGCUCUGUUGUUAGGGAAGAACAAGUAAUGCAGUAACUGGCGUUACCGUGACGGUACCUAACGAGAAAGCCACGGCUAACUACGUGCCAGCAGCCGCGGUAAUACGUAGGUGGCAAGCGUUGUCCGGAAUUAUUGGGCGUAAAGCGCGCGCAGGCGGUUCCUUAAGUCUGAUGUGAAAGCCCACGGCUCAACCGUGGAGGGUCAUUGGAAACUGGGGGACUUGAGUAUAGUAGGGGUAGAG